CCUACGGGCGGCAGCAGUGGGGAAUAUUGGGCAAUGGGCGCAAGCCUGACCCAGCAACGCCGCGUGAAGGAAGAAGACUUUCGGGUUGUAAACUUCUUUUCUCAGGGACGAAGCAAGUGACGGUACCUGAGGAAUAAGCCACGGCUAACUACGUGCCAGCAGCCGCGGUAAUACGUAGGUGGCAAGCGUUAUCCGGAUUUACUGGGUGUAAAGGGCGUGUAGGCGGGAAAGCAAGUCAGAUGUGAAAACCAUGGGCUCAACCUGUGGCCUGCAUUUGAAACUGUUUUUCGUGAGUACUGGAGAGGCAGACGGAAUUCCUAGUGUAGCGGUGAAAUGCGUAGAGAUUAGGAGGAACACCAGUGGCGAAGGCGGUCUGCUGGACAGCAACUGACGCUGAGGCGCGAAAGCGUGGGGAGCAAACAGGAUUAGAUACCCGAGUAGUC
Molecule: ribosomal RNA, 443 nt
Filed under: uncultured bacterium
Lineage: Bacteria
Description: partial 16S ribosomal RNA
Rfam family: Bacterial small subunit ribosomal RNA
Source: RNAcentral